GCACCAGCUCUCGCCAGCUACCAGACCUACCGCGCUGCCCCAGCUGUUGCCACCGUUGCCCAUGCUCCGGCUGUUGCUAGCUACCAGACCUACCACGCUGCUCCAGCUGUGGCUUCCUACGCCCACGCCGCUCCAGUCUACGGAUACGGCGUCAACUCCCUCGGCUACGGUGCCGGCCACUUCGGUUAUGGACAUGGCCUUAGCAGCUACGGUCUGAACUACGGGUACGGCCUCGGCACUUAUGGCGACUACACCACCCUCCUUCGCAAGAAGAAGUAAACUAUCUCUUUCUGGGCGCCUCACUUCGCAGUUGGCCAUAAAAAAGCUCUAAACUGCUAUUUAUGCAUUGUGAUAUAUCCUCAAUAAACAGUUGACCAAUAA
This is a long non-coding RNA of Ixodes scapularis (black-legged tick), 381 nucleotides long. RefSeq lists it as uncharacterized. The transcript is spliced from 2 exons. Lineage: Eukaryota; Metazoa; Arthropoda; Arachnida; Ixodida; Ixodidae. The record is from RefSeq and is a predicted model, not a curated record.